This is a long non-coding RNA of Oncorhynchus keta (chum salmon), 703 nucleotides long. RefSeq lists it as uncharacterized. The record is from RefSeq and is a predicted model, not a curated record. The transcript is spliced from 3 exons. NCBI's taxonomy places the organism in Eukaryota, Metazoa, Chordata, Actinopteri, Salmoniformes, Salmonidae.
UCCAGGACUAUAGGAAGUCUUCUAGUAGAGGGAGAGUCAGGUCCAGGACUAUAGGAAGUCUUCUAGUAGAGAGGGAGUCAGGUCCAGGACUAUAGGAAGUCUUCUAGUAGAGAGAGAGUCAGGUCCAGGACCAUAGGAAGUCUUCUAGUAGAGAGAGAGUCAGGUCCAGGACUAUAGGAAGUCUUCUAGUAGAGAGAGAGUCAGGUCCUAUAGGAAGUCUUCUAGUAGAGGGAGAGUCAGGUCCAGGACUAUAGGAAGUCUUCUAGUAGAGAGAGAGUCAGGUCCAGGACUAUAGGAAGUCUUCUAGUAGAGAGAGAGUCAGGUCCAGGACUAUAGGAAGUCUUCUAGUAGAGAGAGAGUCAGGUCCAGGACUAUAGGAAGUCUUCUAGUAGAGAGAGAGUCAGGUCCAGGACUAUAGGAAGUCUUCUAGUAGAGAGGGAGUCAGGUCCUAUAGGAUGUCUUCUAGUAGAGAGAGAGUCAGGUCCAGGACUAUAGGAAGUCUUCUAGUAGAGAGGGAGUCAGGUCCAGGACUAUAGGAAGUCUUCUAGUAGAGAGGGAGUCAGGUCCAGGACUAUAGGAAGUCUUCUAGUAGAGAGAGAGUCAGGUCCAGGACUAUAGGAAGUCUUCUAGUAGUGAGAUGAAAAAGUUUAUUUAGUCUCAUUGUGACCAGCUUCUGUGGUUGGAGGUUAGUUGAACCUGGUAG